AUGCACACGGGUCAGCAGCCCCUCUGCCCCUCGGCCCAGGUCUCCCUCCCUCGGAGCGUCCGUGGCAACCCCGUGCGGAGUUCAUCCUUUGUGAGCAGACGGCACUGUUCCCAGACGGGACUAACCCCCUGUAAACCCGUGGCUGGACUCCGGCCUGCCUGCCCCCGGCUCUUGGGCUCCCUGGAGCUUCCUCUACAAAACCGGCAUGCGCAGGGGAGGCACGUCACAGCGGCCCGGAUGCCGCCAUCGGACAAGACCGACGGUGCCGAGCGUGGGGAAGGAUGUGGGGGUCAGACUCUAGGACGCUGCGGGGGCAGGAAGCAGCGGACGGACUCGUCGUACAACCCGGCAAGCCCCCUCCUCAGCCUGUGCCCAGGAGACGUGAACACACACCCACGCAAAGAUGCGGACACGAACCUUCACGGCAGCACAUUCAUAGUAGCCCAACUGUGGGGACAGCCCACGUGUCCCCCCCACAGUGGACCGCUAUCCGGUCCGAACGAGGAGCAGGGCAGCGACGUGCUCCACAGCCUGGGGGGCCUCGGGCAUGUCAUGCUCAGCGGAGAGAGCCGGGUGCGAAAGGACACGUGUCCACGGUCCUGUGGGUAGGAACGUCCACAACAGCCAAUCCAC
Molecule: long non-coding RNA, 633 nt
Filed under: Mustela putorius furo (domestic ferret)
Lineage: Eukaryota; Metazoa; Chordata; Mammalia; Carnivora; Mustelidae
Description: lncRNA (ENSMPUG00000025267.1)
Source: RNAcentral